GAAUAUUGGACAAUGGGGGAAACCCUGAUCCAGCCAUGCCGCGUGUGUGAAGAAGGUCUUCGGAUUGUAAAGCACUUUAAGCUGGGAGGAAGGGCAGUAAGCGAAUACCUUGCUGGCUUGACGUUCCCUACAGAAUAAACCCCGGCUACCUCCGUGCCCGCCGCCGCUGUAAUACAGCGGGUGCAAGCGGUAAUCGGAAUUACUGGGCGUAAAGCGCGCGUAGGUGGUUCGUUAAGGUGGAUGUGAAAGCCCCGGGCUCAACCUGGGAACUGCAUCCAACACUGGCGAGCUAGAGUAGGGCAGAGGGUGGUGGAAUUUCCUGUGUAGCGGUGAAAUGCGUAGAUAUAGGAAGGAACACCAGUGGCGAAGGCGACCACCUGGGCUCAUACUGACACUGAGGUGCGAAAGCGUGGGGAGCAAACAG
Molecule: ribosomal RNA, 424 nt
Filed under: uncultured bacterium
Lineage: Bacteria
Description: partial 16S ribosomal RNA
Rfam family: Bacterial small subunit ribosomal RNA
Source: RNAcentral